RNAcentral lists this ribosomal RNA (253 nucleotides) under uncultured bacterium. RNAcentral's name for it is "partial 16S ribosomal RNA". It matches the Rfam family "Bacterial small subunit ribosomal RNA", at positions 524 to 776 of the family's 1533-position model. The record is from RNAcentral.
UACGGGGGGGGCAAGCGUUGUUCGGAAUUACUGGGCGUAAAGGGUUUGUAGGUGGCUUGUUAAGUCAGACGUGAAAUCCCUCAGCUUAACUGGGGAACUGCGUCUGAUACUGGCGAGCUUGAGUGCAGGAGAGGAACGCGGAAUUCCAGGUGUAGCGGUGAAAUGCGUAGAUAUCUGGAGGAACACCAAUGGCGAAGGCAGCUCGCUGGGACGUGACUGACGCUGAGACGCGAAAGCGUGGGGAGCAAACAGG